This 497-nucleotide ribosomal RNA is filed under the name uncultured bacterium. RNAcentral describes it as "partial 16S ribosomal RNA". It matches the Rfam family "Bacterial small subunit ribosomal RNA", at positions 28 to 507 of the family's 1533-position model. The record is from RNAcentral.
GACGAACGCUGGCGGCAUGCCUAAUACAUGCAAGUCGAGCGAACAGAUGAAGUGCUUGCACUUCUGACGUUAGCGGCGAACGGGUGAGUAACACGUAAGGAAUCUACCUAUAAGCGGGGGAUAACAUUCGGAAACGGGUGCUAAUACCGCAUAAUAUCUUCUUCCGCAUGGAAGAAGAUUGAAAGACGGCUCUGCUGUCACUUAUAGAUGACCUUGCGGUGCAUUAGUUAGUUGGUGGGGUAACGGCCUACCAAGACGAUGAUGCAUAGCCGACCUGAGAGGAUGAUCGGCCACAUUGGGACUGAGACACGGCCCAAACUCCUACGGGAGGCAGCAGUAGGGAAUCUUCCGCAAUGGGCGAAAGCCUGACGGAGCAAUGCCGCGUGAGUGAAGAAGGCCUUCGGGUCGUAAAACUCUGUUAUAAGAGAAGAACAAAUUGUAGAGUAACUGCUACAGUCUUGACGGUAUCUUAUCAGAAAGCCACGGCUAACUACGUG